AGCAACUCUUACAAUCCAUGCUCAAAGUCCCUCCUAUUUAAAGCCGGUGGCGAAGUGGAAGCGUUACUCUGCAGGAGACAAGCACUGGGCCUAGACCUUUCCUUGGAAGUAUCAUUGACGAGCAACAGCCACAAUGACGGACAACACAUGUAAACAGACAGAAGAAAAGAAGAAAUGGCUCGAAACGAAUACAUUUGAUAAGCUGACUGAAGAGGGUCAAAGGGAAUUUUUCAGUCAUCUAAAUAAUGGUAAAGAAGUAAAUGAAGAUAUCUGUGACAUGGACCCCAAAAAUCUUACACAGGAUUCAAAGAAGUAUCAGUUUUGGCUUCAGUGUGAACGAGGAGUUUUUUCAAAGUACUUCAAGGUCAUCAAAAAAAUAACUGAUGUUGACUAUGGCUUCCUGGAAAUUAAGUAUUUUGAUUCCUUUAAAACCGCUGAGAAUAAACAGAAAUAUUUAUCAGACAUGCAGGCUAAUACAAAGGAAACAGAGACAUUAAUUAAAAAAUUGCAGGAGGAGAUCAAAGACCAAUUAGACACAUGUUUUGGUAAAUUUAGAACAAAAUUGGAAGAAGAACUUGCUAGAUAAAUUUAGCUGAAAAUGAAGUCAAAGUCAAAUUUUCUCCACUGAUUCCCAUAGUUAUAAUAAUUAAUACUUCAAUGUAUCAAGACAGAGCUUCAUCUGAUUAGUAUUAAAGAGCUCCUUUAAAUUUUGUUAUUAUGUACUCGUAAGUACAUUAAUUACAGGAAGUGUUGUAUCAUGUGCACUGAUGGAUAGUUUUAAGAUUUCCACUCUUUAGUACUGAAAUAAACAUACUUUCUCUUUA
Molecule: long non-coding RNA, 824 nt
Organism: Scylla paramamosain (green mud crab)
Lineage: Eukaryota; Metazoa; Arthropoda; Malacostraca; Decapoda; Portunidae
Exons: 3
Source: RefSeq, a predicted model, not a curated record